RNAcentral lists this ribosomal RNA (495 nucleotides) under uncultured bacterium. RNAcentral's name for it is "partial 16S ribosomal RNA". It matches the Rfam family "Bacterial small subunit ribosomal RNA", at positions 28 to 507 of the family's 1533-position model. The record is from RNAcentral.
GACGAACGCUGGCGGCGUGCCUAAUACAUGCAAGUAGGACGCUGAAGGAGGAGCUUGCUUCUCUGGAUGAGUUGCGAACGGGUGAGUAACGCGUAGGUAACCUGCCUGGUAGCGGGGGAUAACUAUUGGAAACGAUAGCUAAUACCGCAUAAGAGUAGAUGUUGCAUGACAUUUACUUAAAAGGUGCAAUUGCAUCACUACCAGAUGGACCUGCGUUGUAUUAGCUAGUUGGUGAGGUAACGGCUCACCAAGGCAACGAUACAUAGCCGACCUGAGAGGGUGAUCGGCCACACUGGGACUGAGACACGGCCCAGACUCCUACGGGAGGCAGCAGUAGGGAAGCUUCGGCAAUGGACGGAAGUCUGACCGAGCAACGCCGCGUGAGUGAAGAAGGUUUUCGGAUCGGAAAGCUCUGUUGUAAGAGAAGAACGAGUGUGAGAGUGGAAAGUUCACACUGUGACGGUAGCUUACCAGAAAGGGACGGCUAACUACGUG